This 201-nucleotide long non-coding RNA is filed under the name Elaeis guineensis (African oil palm). RNAcentral's name for it is "long non-coding RNA (EGUI_LNC011492)". The record is from RNAcentral. Lineage: Eukaryota; Viridiplantae; Streptophyta; Magnoliopsida; Arecales; Arecaceae.
CUAUAGCAGAUGGAUUGCCUGAAUCAUAGACUAUGUGGAGACCCCUAGCUUUGCCAUCCUCAUCAACGGUGCUCCGAUAGAUUUCUUUCAAUCGAUUGGCGAUCUUCGCCAAGGGUGCCCUCUUCCCUCUUGUUUAUUUUGUGUGCUGAUGCUUUCUCCUGCACUCUCUGGUGGGCUGUCCAGCGGACAGAGCAUAAGCCC